Molecule: ribosomal RNA, 468 nt
Filed under: uncultured bacterium
Lineage: Bacteria
Description: partial 16S ribosomal RNA
Rfam family: Bacterial small subunit ribosomal RNA
Source: RNAcentral
GACGAACGCUGGCGGCGUGCUUAAUACAUGCAAGUCGAACGGAAAGGCCCUGCUUUUGUGGGGUGCUCGAGUGGCGAACGGGUGAGUAACACGUGAGUAACCUGCCCUUGACUUUGGGAUAACUUCAGGAAACUGGGGCUCAUACCGGAUAGGAGCUCCUGCUGCAUGGUGGGGGUUGGAAAGUUUCGGCGGUUGGGGAUGGACUCGCGGCUUAUCAGCUUGUUGGUGGGGUAGUGGCUUACCAAGGCUUUGACGGGUAGCCGGCCUGAGAGGGUGACCGGCCACAAUGGGACUGAGAGACGGCCCAGACUCCUACGGGAGGCAGCAGUGGGGAAUCUUGCACAAUGGGGGGGAGCCUGAUGCAGCAACGCCGGGUGCGGGAUGACGGCUUUCGGGUUGUAAACCGCUUUCGCCUGUGACGAAGCGUGAGUGACGGUAAUGGGUAAAGAAGCACCGGCUAACUACGUG